GGGGUGAUGGUUCAACCGGGAGAACACUGCCCUCGCACGGCAGGGAUCGAGGUUCGACCCCUCGUCGCUCCACCG
RNAcentral lists this transfer RNA (75 nucleotides) under Sorangium cellulosum. Its description in RNAcentral is "tRNA-Ala". It matches the Rfam family "tRNA". From Rfam's summary of the family: Transfer RNA (tRNA) molecules are approximately 80 nucleotides in length. Their secondary structure includes four short double-helical elements and three loops (D, anti-codon, and T loops). Further hydrogen bonds mediate the characteristic L-shaped molecular structure. tRNAs have two regions of fundamental functional importance: the anti-codon, which is responsible for specific mRNA codon recognition, and the 3' end, to which the tRNAs corresponding amino acid is attached (by aminoacyl-tRNA synthetases). tRNAs cope with the degeneracy of the genetic code in two manners: having more than one tRNA (with a specific anti-codon) for a particular amino acid; and 'wobble' base-pairing, i.e. permitting non-standard base-pairing at the 3rd anti-codon position. The record is from RNAcentral. Lineage: Bacteria; Pseudomonadati; Myxococcota; Polyangiales; Polyangiaceae.